GAUGAACGCUGGCGGUGUGCCUAAUACAUGCAAAUCGAGCGAACAGACGAGGAGCUUACUCCUCUGACGUUAGCGGCGGACGGGUGAGUAACACGUGGAUAACCUACCUAUAAGACUGGGAUAACUUCGGGAAACCGGAGCUAAUACCGGAUAACAUGUUGAACCGCAUGGUUCAACAGUGAAAGACGGUCUUGCUGUCACUUAUAGAUGGAUCCGCGUCGCAUUAGCUAGUUGGUAAGGUAACGGCUUACCAAGGCAACGAUGCGUAGCCGACCUGAGAGGGUGAUCGGCCACACUGGAACUGAGACACGGUCCAGACUCCUACGGGAGGCAGCAGUAGGGAAUCUUCCGCAAUGGGCGAAAGCCUGACGGAGCAACGCCGCGUGAGUGAAGAAGGUCUUCGGAUCGUAAAACUCUGUUAUUAGGGAAGAACAAAUGUGUAAGUAACUAUGCACGUCUUGACGGUACCUAAUCAGAAAGCCACGGCUAACUACGUG
Molecule: ribosomal RNA, 497 nt
Filed under: uncultured bacterium
Lineage: Bacteria
Description: partial 16S ribosomal RNA
Rfam family: Bacterial small subunit ribosomal RNA
Source: RNAcentral